RNA transcript from Lycium barbarum (goji berry), 6525 nucleotides. RefSeq lists it as uncharacterized. NCBI's taxonomy places the organism in Eukaryota, Viridiplantae, Streptophyta, Magnoliopsida, Solanales, Solanaceae. The transcript has 13 exons. The record is from RefSeq and is a predicted model, not a curated record.
GCAAAUUGAUGAUUCAUGCCUUCUAAUCUAGGAGCUUCUGGGCAUGCCCAUUAUGUUUUCUUCCCUUUCUCUCUCUGUCGUCCUUCUCUCUCCUUUUCACUUCUCUGUUGAAGAUUUUUGAAGUUGCUAUGUCUUCAAAAAGGCGAAGAGGAGCUGAAGAGAAUGGAAAAAUAAGUGAUGGCGUUUCUUUUGACUAUUUAGGGAUUCAACCCCUUUUCUUCUUUCACCUAAUGAAAAUUUUCUUCUACAUUUGAUUUCUCAAAUACCCAAAAGCCUAUUCUUGAAUAAAAAAUCAAUCUUUAUGUGUUUUGUGCUUAUGGGUACUCAGAGUGUUGUUUUUUUUUUUCCUGGAAUUGAACUGCCAAAAUUAAAACUUAAGUUUCAGUCAAACAUUUGAUUUCUCAAAUACCCAAAAGCCAUCUUUAUGUCUUUUAUGCUUAUGGGUACUCAGAGUGUUGUUGUUGUUGUUAGUUUUUUUUAUUUUCUGGAAUUGAUCUGCAAAAAUUAAAACUUAAGUUUUUUCACUGAUAAAGAAAAUGUUGUGACUGAUUUUAAAAAAUUUACAUAUUUUUUCUUGGAUUUUUUUUUGAGUGUUUUAGUAAGUAAUUGAAUAAAAAAAGGAUCAUUAUGAGAUCAUGGAAGAAAUUGGGCGUGGAGCAUUUGGUGCUGCUAUUUUAGUUAAUCGCAAGAAGUAACUUGAAGAAAGAAAGAAGUAUGUGUUAAAAAAGAUUCGAUUAGCUCGACAGACAGAACGUUGCAGAAGAUCUGCUCAUCAAGAGAUUGGAUGCCCUCCUCUGUCGGAGAACUUUACAGUACUGUUUAGAAAUUUUCUACUGCCUACUUGGAAUGACUGGGUUAUCUGAGAUGUCUCGACGUUUAGAGAUGGGUGCAGUUCCGUGUUGUUUUAGGGAUGUAGCGAUGUCAAUUCAUUACUACCGACUCCCAGAGAAGUUAAUUACCAGAUUUUUUGUAGCUAUUCUUGAAAUUUCUGUGGCAUUUGUUAUUCUUUUAACCAAUUCCGUACAUGCAUUGAUUGAAGAAAAGGGGCUAUAGAGAAAUUAUCGUAGUUCGGGGGGAGCAUCUGCAUCUGGUGAAUUUACUUAUGACACCUCUUUGGCUGGCUUACAUUCUUACCUUGGUGAUGUCGAGGAUACUCAUAAUAGGCUGGCCUUCUUGGAUGACAGAGCUGUCUCAACUGUUCCUCUGUUCUAUCUUGAAGGUAAGUGCAUUACUCGGUUGCCUGUGACUAUCUUUUCUUCAAUUACUGGAGCACGGGCCCAACAUCAGAGGCUCAUAAUCUUCAAAAAUGUUGGUGCAAGAUGCAAGAGACCCCAAAUUUCAUAAUGCAAGAAAUAACAAGAACUGGAGUUGAAUGAUAGAGUGCUUCCAGAGUAACUUUGCUUUCUUUCCUUAGUCGUAAGAUAACAUUGCAAUGAAGAAGCUGAGGGCAUAUAUGUGAAAGAAACCAAAAGCAUUUGCUUUGCAUAUUCUACAAAUUUCAACAAUACACUUAGGUGGCAAUUUUUUUGCACCUAAUUCUCCCAAAAAAAGGUUGUUCAUUGCCUCAAAGUAGGAUUGGCUCUUUCCCUUGUGUCUGUGGCAAUUUUUUGCACCUAAUUCUCCCCCAAAAAAAGGUUGUUCAUUGCCUCAAAGUAGGAUUGGCUCUUUCCCUUGUGUCUGUGUUUUAUUACAUGAGGCCUCUGUGUGAAGUUGUUGGAUGGAAUGCUAUGUGGGCUGUUAUGGCAGUUGAAGUAGUAUUUGAGUACACUCUAGGUUCUACACUUUAUAAGUGUGUAAAUAGAGCUAUGGCAGCAUGUCUCGCUGAAUCUCUAGGAAUUGAUGUUCGCGGGUUGCAAGUCAAUCUGAAGAAACAUUUGAACCUGUUAUUCUCCAAGCUUAAGUUUUUCGCUUAGAUUGUUAACAAUGAAUAACGGAAGUAUUCAGCCCAACUGGUCUGUAUGGGAUGCAGAAGACCGGAUUACUAUGAUGGAGCAUAAAAGAUUACAAUUUAACCCAGAUUCCUCUCUUCAGCAAGUUUAGUAAUGAGUAUAACGGCCCUAUUGUUCCAAUGGAGAUAAGAACCUAUGAUUAGCUUUUCGGGCAAUUUCCAAACGAACAAUUUCAACUAAAUCAUUGCUUAAGUCCGUAUAGGUUCAAUUUUUUUUUACAUCAAUUGCUCAAGACAAAAUCUCUUGAAUCGUCAUCAAGCCAUCAAGCUAAGGUAUGUGACUUCAACCCACUUCCCACGAUCUAUUUUUUUUAUCUUCAUAUUUUAAUAAUAUUGAUCUCCAUGUCCCUUUUUCUUGAUGUUGUGUGUUUUAACAAAUAUGACACUUUCGUUAUUAGUGAAAUUUCAAUUUAUAGAGGUAAUCUGUUUUAUAUUAUUUACCGUGAAACCAAUAGAGUUUGAUUGUCCCAAUUUUUGCUAUUGAUGUUUAUUUGAUAAAGCAUUGGGUUACAAAUUAUUCAAAAUAUGGCAAAGUUAUGUGGCUUCAACCUACUUCUAAAGUUUAUUUUCUAUUUUAAUAGUUUAAUUUUUCUCGAAUGAGUUGUAUUUGUCCAGCUUCAUUAUUGUAGAUUCUUUUUCAUACUAAUAGGUGAGACGAAAUUGUUAAGUUUCAGUUAUUCAAAGAGAUCGAUUAUGAUCAUUAUUUUAUAAUUAGUUGGGACAAGUUCGGUGUUUUUUUACAUCAAUUGCUCAAGACAAAUUCUCUUGAAUCGUCAUCAAGCUAUUAAGCUAAGGUAUGCGACUUCCACCCACUUCCACGAUCUAUUUUGUUUAUCUCCAUACUUUAAUCUUUCUAGAGUAAUACUAUUCUUCAAUAAGCUAUUUUUAUUGGUCCACUUUAUGUAUAGAUAUGUAUUUUCGGUAAAUUGCAUAUUGUGCAAUGCAGCGAAAAGCGAAUCUUAGAUAUUAAUUUUCCUAUAUUUUUUAGUGUGACAUAAUUUCCAUCCAAUGUGUUAAAUGAAAUUUCGGAUAACUCAUAGGCCAUAAUUAUGGUAAUAUUAUAAAAAAUCUAGAUUGUUGCACGAAUUUAUUGUAAUUUAAUAAAAAUAAUAAUUGGUGCUUUGGGUUUGUUAUUAUCGUUUACAUUUUGGUCCUUAAUGUUUAUGGACCAUUGAACCGCUUUAAAAUUAACUUAUCUCAUAAAUACUAAUGUAAGAAAAUAGUAUUGAAAUUUUACAGCUUACUUGAAAAUUCUUAAGAGACUAAUUAUGAUGCAUUUUAUGGUUAAUUUCUCCAAAAAUCUCUUGCAUGUAGCACGUUUUCUAUUAAUGACUUUUUACCGCAUAAUUCUUCCAGAUAAUUAAUUUUAUAUGUCAAAUAGUAAUUAUAACAACAAUUAUCUCAAAUUCAUUGUCAAACUUGAUCAACUAUACAUGCAUGUACGUACUGUAAACUCAAACUUUAAAGUAUAUUUUAAAUAAGAAAAAAGUGAAUACAUGUAAAUAUAUUGACGCGAUACACACGUGCAACACACGUAUGCUAAAACUAGUGUUUAUGAAAAGUUUAUACUAGCUUCAUUAGGUAGAUCUGAAGCUCACUUGUGAAUAAGUCGACCGUUUAAGUCAACAAAUACUUGUUGUAGCUUGAUUACUUAAAUAUCACCAAAAUUUGUAGUUUAGUUGAAAGUUUAAAAUACAUUUUUGCGAUGCAAUUUGCUCUAUUAUUCCUGUUACUUAAAACUUCAGCUGCUUUUAGGAUUUAAGGGAGAAAUUACACGUAAAUUUGAUUUUUCUUCUUUAUUUAUUUCUUACAAAAAGAAUUUGAGUAAUGUAUAGUUGGCCUCUUAAAAAUACGGAAUUCUGUUAGAUAUAAAAGAAUCCAGUUAUAGUUGUUGAAAAUGUAAAGCUUUAUUCCACCCCCAAAUGGUUAAUUAUUCGUCUACGUGUAAUAACUGUAAAAAGUAACAAAUUUCAAUAUUAAUAAGUCUUUGUAUGCUUCAAAUGAAGAUUCUUCUUUAUUACAUGUCCUAAUUGUUUCUUUGCUUCACUACUCUAUCGAUGACUUCCGAGCUUUAGGGGGGGGGGGGGGGGGGGGGGAGACAUUUGGCUUCCACUUCACUUCUUCACUUUCCUCCGUGCUACUUUGAUUUUAUGGUUCUUUCUAAUCCUCUAUCUCUUACUACAAAAAGUAGCUGCAUGUGCUUUUCUCCAAAUUGAUUUGGGCUUGUGAAUCGAACUUCAGGUACGUCUUCGAUGUCUGCAAAAUAUUUGUUCAUCUCUCUUUUAUUUUGUUUAUUGCUCUUCUCUGUGCCUUUGAUUUUCUCCAACAGCUAACAGUGUGAUUAAUGAAAGCUAGAUGAGGGAUUGUUUAUGUAAUACAUCUUUCCUUUCUUGUGUCUGUUUGGGAAUUACAAUUGGUUUCCAUCAUGGAGACAGAUUGAAAAGUAUUCUAGCAAAAAAAUUUGGCAGAGAUUUCCCACUGAUAUAGAAAAUUAGACCCUAUUCUUUUGGGUUGUAGGGCAGUAGGAAGGUGCUUAACUUGAAGGAAGUGAAUGUGAUGAGAGCCUAUGGAACUGCUAAAGGCAAAUUUCAGCAUCUUUAAGAUCGUCAUCAAAUGAGGGUGAAGAAAUUUGUAAAGCGUUUUUAAUGUCUAAACGGGAAAACAUAGAGACUUAUAUCAGAAAGAGGAAGCCAGUAGAUCAGAGCGAGACAGUGGUUUUUUUUUUUUAAAUGUAUUGUUGUUUUUCUCGAUUUGGUUCUUGUUUUUAUUUGUAUAUUGUGCAUGCCCAUUUGGCUAUUUGAUUGGAAUACUGGAGCCAUGUGUUAAGUCUUUUGUAUUCUUAGAAGCCAGGGUUGUAUUGAUUACUUCUUUACACUCUGUUUGGAUGGCUGUUACGCAUGCUUUCAUAAUGUAUCUUCUUAUACUGCAUUGUGUUGUAUUGUAUCGUACUGUAUUGUUUUGAUGAAUACAAAUUUGGAUAGAUCGUAUCGUUUUUUGUUGUUACAUAAUGUCACACGUCAUCAAUUUGGAGGAUAAAUCUCCAAGAAAAGUAGGAUAAAGGUAACCACACGAUCACAUCAAAUCAAUCAUUACUUAAAAUGGGAUCUUUCGUUGUUACAUAGUGAUUGAUCUAACGAUAUGAUACGGUACGAUACAAUAAAAUUUGAGUAACAAUAAAAAAAACUAUUGUAUUUAAGCUAACAAUACAAUAGGUAAUGACCAUCCAAACAAGCUCUUAGUGUAUUGUGGUUGUAGCUUCACACUUGCUUUAUCCUUAUGAUUUUGUGUUCACAGACAAACAAUGAUUCUAUUACCGACAGUAAUUUUGGUGGUGGUAGCUCUCUGCGGCAGUUUGCGGUCAAAGAAUUCCAAAAAUUGCUCUCAGACAAAUGGAUUCCUUGUGUAGACGAUAUAUCUUAUGGUUUUGUUCGUCAACUUGCCGUAGAAAGAAAAUGUUGUCUGCAGCUCCAGGGUGAAGCUGCUCGGGUUCUCACAGACAAUGAUUCUAAGCAGUCGCCAUUACUUCAAAAGCUCUUGGAUAGUGAUAUGUUAGAUCUUCCGUCAAUGGUUGCCCGUGUUUUGCCUAGCAAUCUGCAGCAGUCAGCAACCAAAGAAUACAAACAAAUGCACUCUGACACUGCUGGAACUCUCAUACACAUUAUAUCAUCACGCUACUCGAGGCAACCUGAUUUGGUGAUUAAGCAUGAGCUGAUGCAAGUUCUUUUAAACCUUCUGGACACAUAUAGUGUUUGUGAGAAGGUAUGUUUUAAAAUUGGCAGACCCCUGUGUUGUAUAGACUGUAACUAUGUUUAUUAGCAGACAAAUUAUAUUUUUUGUCCAACUAUAGGCUGUAGAGAAACUGCGAAAAGUUGCUUCCCACCCUGUAAAUCGUAAUUAUGCUUUUCGGCAUGGGGCUUUGGAUACUUUGCUGAAUAAGUUGGACACUACCAAUGUUUCAAUGAUGAGAAAACACUUUUUGACUAUAUCAAAGUUUUGUGGAGGCAUAAUACAACCUCUUUUUAAUAAGGUCAGUUAAUGACUGUUGAAAAGUUUUUAGCUAGGCCUGCAAUUAUGUGAUGCAACGAUAUUGCGAACUUAAUGGAUGCUUUACAUUACUAAUUACAAUUCGAUUGUCAGGUGAGACCAGCAAUUAAAGCUUUUUGUAACCUUGUCUAUGUAAAUGAUGAUAAAGAGGUGCUAAGUAAUGCAUGCAAGGCGCUUUCUUCCUUACUAGUACAUUAGAUUUGUCCUUCAGUAACAGUAGUAGUAUUUGGGGUGUGGAAAAAUGCGAUUUUGUUGAUGAUGUAAGCUAGAGUGAGGUUGUUGAUGCCUUCCAUGAGGCGGAUGUUCUUUCGGUGCUGCUUAAACUCAUCAAGUGAGUGAGAUGUUUCAGUUUCUCAUUUAACCUACUUCUUCACAUCUGACUUAAGAUUGAAUCUGAUAUAUGUGUCAAUUGAUAUUUUAGCAAAUAUAGCACUCCUUCAGUAAUCUCCCCUGCCAUCCGUACUGUUCUAUCUAUUAGUACAGAUGAUGACAAAAAGAGGAUUUGCAUACCUGAGGUAAGAGAGUUUGGCUGA